This 17-nucleotide non-coding RNA is filed under the name Mus musculus (house mouse). The record is from RNAcentral. Lineage: Eukaryota; Metazoa; Chordata; Mammalia; Rodentia; Muridae.
AGUAACUGCUAGAUCCU